CCUUCAGGAUUCGCUAGUACGGCGAGUGAAGAGGGAAGAGCCCAAGAUUGAAAGCUGGCGUCUUCGGCGUCCGCAUUGUAAUCUCAAGAAGUGUUUUCCGCUUCGGACCAUGCCUAAGUCCCUUGGAAAAGGGCAUCAUAGAGGGUGAUAAUCCCGUUCAUGGCAUGGAGCGCCCGAAGCUUUGUGAUACGCUUUCUAAGAGUCGAGUUGUUUGGGAAUGCAGCUCAAAAUGGGUGGUAAAUGCCAUCUAAGGCUAAAUAUUGGGGAGAGACCGAUAGCGAACAAGUACAGUGAUGGAAAGAUGAAAAGAACUUUGAAAAGAGAGUUAAACAGUACGUGAAAUUGCCAAAAGGGAAGGGUAGGAGGUCAGAGAUGCGUCUUGGAAUUCAGCCUUGCUUCUGCUUGGUGUUUUUUCCAUUUUGCAGGCCAACGUCGGUUUUGGGCACUGGAGAAGGGUGGAAGGAACGUGGCACCUCUCGGGGUGUGUUAUAGCCUUCUACUGGAUACAGCGACCGAGACCGAGGACAGCAGCGUACUCGCAAGAGCGGGCCUUCGGGCACCUUUACGCUUAGGGCGUUGGCAUAAUGGCCCUCUACCACCCGUCUGAA
Molecule: ribosomal RNA, 608 nt
Filed under: Sporisorium graminicola
Lineage: Eukaryota; Fungi; Basidiomycota; Ustilaginomycetes; Ustilaginales; Ustilaginaceae
Description: eukaryotic LSU rRNA
Rfam family: Eukaryotic large subunit ribosomal RNA
Source: RNAcentral